AUACACACACAGACAACACGCCUAUGCAGUAUGCCAAAAAAAAGUGAUUGAAAGGACGAGGGGGGGGGGGGCGACCCCGCAGAGUGAGCGGGGUUACGUCGGCUACGCACUUUUGAUUAGCUAUCCCCCUCAUCUUUCUCUC
Caenorhabditis elegans is the source of this 142-nucleotide non-coding RNA. The record is from Ensembl. Lineage: Eukaryota; Metazoa; Nematoda; Chromadorea; Rhabditida; Rhabditidae.